RNAcentral lists this long non-coding RNA (269 nucleotides) under Vitis vinifera (wine grape). RNAcentral's name for it is "long non-coding RNA (VVIN_LNC000043)". Lineage: Eukaryota; Viridiplantae; Streptophyta; Magnoliopsida; Vitales; Vitaceae. The record is from RNAcentral.
AAAGCUUAAGUAUUUUCUCAUCUUUUUUAUUUUUGUCUCUGACACCGCUCUGUUACUCUCUCCAAUCUCCAUCAAUGGCGUCUACAAGCUUCCUCAAGCCGAUCUCCUCUCUGAAGCUACCCCACCCACGAUCACCCCCCUUCCAAUCCUCAAAACUACUGGGUUUUGAUCUCUCGAACUCAUUUCCCACUCAAAACCUCAAAUCCUCAACAGCCCAUCAGCGAUUGUCAAGUACCAGACGUCACUCAAGCGCCACCACAACUACAGCA